RNAcentral lists this ribosomal RNA (253 nucleotides) under uncultured bacterium. RNAcentral describes it as "partial 16S ribosomal RNA". It matches the Rfam family "Bacterial small subunit ribosomal RNA", at positions 524 to 776 of the family's 1533-position model. The record is from RNAcentral.
GACAGAGGGUGCAAACGUUGUUCGGAAUUACUGGGCGUAAAGCGCGUGUAGGCGGCUCUGCAAGUCGGAUGUGAAAGCCCUCGGCUCAACCGAGGAAGUGCACCCGAAACUGCAGAGCUAGAGUCUCGGAGAGGAUCGUGGAAUUCUCGGUGUAGAGGUGAAAUUCGUAGAUAUCGAGAGGAACACCGGUGGCGAAGGCGGCGACCUGGGUCGAUACUGACGCUGAGGUGCGAAAGCGUGGGGAGCAAACAGG